CAGAAACAUAAAACUCAUUUCCUGCAUUCCAUCUUCAUGAUUAUAAAAAUAAGAAUCAUCAAUGCAGACAACUUUGAAGAGUGAAGCAUCAACAUUUAACAGCUUCGUGAACUUAUGUAAUUCAACUUGUUUUCUUUCGCUUGUCUAAACCACCCAUUUUCACCAGCUGAAAUUGAACCCAAUCUGCAUAUUCAUCAGUUCCAAAGAGUAACAGUGUCAUUUUUUACCAAUAAACUACUGAAAAUCCUCCCGAAGAAUCCUACCUAACAAUUAUGUCAUUAAUACUCUUUAAGUAAUGUCCAACAGUUAAUAAUUUGAGAUGACAGAUAAUAUAAUUAAGAACCCACUUCUUUCCAUUUUCUGAUUUACAUUUUCCUAACUUUAUAACUGGUUGUUG
RNAcentral lists this long non-coding RNA (397 nucleotides) under Olea europaea subsp. europaea. The record is from RNAcentral. Lineage: Eukaryota; Viridiplantae; Streptophyta; Magnoliopsida; Lamiales; Oleaceae.